AGAGUGCAGGCGCAAUCGGCUGCGCACCGCGUUCGGAUCGCGGGGGUUCCCGGUUCGAGUCCGGGGCACUCUA
This 73-nucleotide transfer RNA is filed under the name Candidatus Palauibacterales bacterium. RNAcentral describes it as "tRNA-Pro". It matches the Rfam family "tRNA". From Rfam's summary of the family: Transfer RNA (tRNA) molecules are approximately 80 nucleotides in length. The record is from RNAcentral. Lineage: Bacteria; Pseudomonadati; Gemmatimonadota; Gemmatimonadia; Candidatus Palauibacterales.